Molecule: non-coding RNA, 102 nt
Organism: Coprinopsis sp. MPI-PUGE-AT-0042
Lineage: Eukaryota; Fungi; Basidiomycota; Agaricomycetes; Agaricales; Psathyrellaceae
Source: the annotation of a GenBank genome assembly
GUCUCCGUGGUAUAGCGGCGUUUUACGCGUUCCGCCUUGUAAGAAAAUUCUGCUGGACGUUUUGAGGGACGAGACAUGGGGUUCGAUUCCCCAUCGGAGGCC